Molecule: ribosomal RNA, 324 nt
Filed under: uncultured eukaryote
Lineage: Eukaryota
Description: partial 18S ribosomal RNA
Rfam family: Eukaryotic small subunit ribosomal RNA
Source: RNAcentral
CCCUUAGAUGUUCUGGGCUGCACGCGCGCUACACUGAUGCGAUCAACAAGUUUUUCCUAUGUCGAUAGACACGGGUAAUCUUUUGAACUCGCAUCGUGAUGGGGAUAGAUUAUUGUAAUUAUUAAUCUUCAACGAGGAAUUCCUAGUAGGUGCAAAUCAUCAGUUUGCAUCGAUUACGUCCCUGCCCUUUGUACACAUCGCCCGUCGCUGCUACCGAUUGGUUGAUCUGGUGAAUUAUUCGGACUGCCGGCUGAAGGGGUUUCCUCAUCUGCCAGCGGAAAGUCUUGUUAACCCUAUCAACUAGAGGAAGCAGAAGUCGUAACA